This 220-nucleotide unclassified non-coding RNA is filed under the name Hevea brasiliensis (rubber tree). The record is from RNAcentral. Lineage: Eukaryota; Viridiplantae; Streptophyta; Magnoliopsida; Malpighiales; Euphorbiaceae.
ACCAUAUUUGUUUCGGGAAUCGGAUUUAAACAAAACCGUCUCAAGCAAUUUGUUUCAUGAGGUUAACGUCAGCUACAACCAUUAUUUUUAUCAACUGUUUGAAAUUCCACAAGCACACAGAUGAACAAAUGCGAAACAUAUGUGAAACACCAGUAACCGUACAAUGCCUUGCACGCAGACGAUUAACCUAAGGUUCUCCACCAAGCUCCACCCGCAAGUU